AAUCAACGCUGGCGGCGUGCCUCAGACAUGCAAGUCGAACGCGAAAGUUUCCUUCGGGGGAACAAGUAGAGUGGCGCACGGGUGAGUAACACGUAGGUAAUCUACCUUUGGAUGGGGAAUAACAACCGGAACGGUUGCUAAUACCGCAUAAUGCAGCGGCACCUAAUGGUGACAGUUGUUAAAGCGGGGGAUCGAAAGACCUCGCGUCUGAAGAGGAGCCUGCGGCGGAUUAGCUAGUGGUAAGGUAAUGGCUUACUAAGGCGACGAUCCGUAACCGGCCUGAGAGGGCAGUCGGUCACACUGACACUGACAUACGGGUCAGACUCCUACGGGAGGCAGCAGUCGGGAAUUUUGGGCAAUGGGCGAAAGCCUGACCCAGCAACGCCGCGUGAAGGAUGAAAUCCCUCGGGAUGUAAACUUCGCAAGAACGGGAAGAAUAAGCGAGAGUUAAUAU
RNAcentral lists this ribosomal RNA (454 nucleotides) under uncultured bacterium. RNAcentral describes it as "bacterial SSU rRNA". It matches the Rfam family "Bacterial small subunit ribosomal RNA", at positions 32 to 464 of the family's 1533-position model. The record is from RNAcentral.